Molecule: ribosomal RNA, 450 nt
Filed under: uncultured Glomeromycotina
Lineage: Eukaryota; Fungi; Glomeromycota
Description: SSU rRNA
Rfam family: Eukaryotic small subunit ribosomal RNA
Source: RNAcentral
AGCAGCCGCGGUAAUUCCAGCUCCAAUAGCGUAUAUUAAAGUUGUUGCAGUUAAAAAGCUCGUAGUUGAAUUUCGGGAUCAGUACGCUGGUCGUGCCUUUGGUAUGUACUGGUGUCACUGAUUCCUCCCUUCUGAAGAACCGUUAUGCCAUUUAUUUGGUGUGGCGGGAAAUCAGGACUGUUACUUUGAAAAAAAUUAGAGUGUUUAAAAGCAGGCUCGCGCUUGAAUACAUUAGCAUGGAAUAAUGAAAUAGGACGUUUGAUCUUAUUUUGUUGGUUUCUAGGAUCGACGUAAUGAUUAAUAGGGAUAGUUGGGGGCAUUAGUAUUCAAUUGUCAGAGGUGAAAUUCUUGGAUUUAUUGAAGACUAACUACUGCGAAAGCAUUUGCCAAGGAUGUUUUCAUUAAUCAAGAACGAAAGUUAGGGGAUCGAAGACGAUCAGAUACCGUCGU